This 88-nucleotide transfer RNA is filed under the name Elusimicrobia bacterium RIFCSPHIGHO2_02_FULL_57_9. Its description in RNAcentral is "tRNA-Ser". It matches the Rfam family "tRNA". Rfam says of the family: Transfer RNA (tRNA) molecules are approximately 80 nucleotides in length. Their secondary structure includes four short double-helical elements and three loops (D, anti-codon, and T loops). Further hydrogen bonds mediate the characteristic L-shaped molecular structure. tRNAs have two regions of fundamental functional importance: the anti-codon, which is responsible for specific mRNA codon recognition, and the 3' end, to which the tRNAs corresponding amino acid is attached (by aminoacyl-tRNA synthetases). tRNAs cope with the degeneracy of the genetic code in two manners: having more than one tRNA (with a specific anti-codon) for a particular amino acid; and 'wobble' base-pairing, i.e. permitting non-standard base-pairing at the 3rd anti-codon position. Lineage: Bacteria; Pseudomonadati; Elusimicrobiota. The record is from RNAcentral.
GGAGAGGUGGCCGAGCGGUUUAAGGCACCAGUCUUGAAAACUGGCAUACCCAAACAGGGUGUCGUGGGUUCGAAUCCCACCCUCUCCG